UACGUAGGUGGCAAGCGUUGUCCGGAUUUACUGGGCGUAAAGAGCGCGCAGGCGGCUGGUCAAGUCCGAUGUGAAAUCUCCCGGCUUAACUGGGAAACUGCAUCGGAAACUGAUCGGCUUGAAGGUGGGAGAGGGUAGUGGAAUUCCCGGUGUAGUGGUGAAAUGCGUAGAUAUCUGGAGGAAUACCGGUGGCGAAGGCGGCAUCCUGGACCGAGAUUGACACUGAUGAGCGAAAGCUAGGGGAGCAAACGGG
RNAcentral lists this ribosomal RNA (253 nucleotides) under uncultured bacterium. Its description in RNAcentral is "partial 16S ribosomal RNA". It matches the Rfam family "Bacterial small subunit ribosomal RNA", at positions 524 to 776 of the family's 1533-position model. The record is from RNAcentral.